Long non-coding RNA from Toxorhynchites rutilus septentrionalis, 2127 nucleotides. RefSeq lists it as uncharacterized. The transcript has 3 exons. The record is from RefSeq and is a predicted model, not a curated record. Lineage: Eukaryota; Metazoa; Arthropoda; Insecta; Diptera; Culicidae.
CGUUCAUCAAUAACGAGUACACUUCAAACACAGCCCCGGCCACCACCUCGCUCACUCACUCACAGUCAAGGUGUUUCAGAAUAUAAUUAACAACAAAAGAACUAAUCUACUCGGGAGGCUGACUACAAAUAAACACGCUGAGUUGAGCACAUGUGGAGCGAAUGGACCGUAAGCCGCCACUGUUGUAGGAUGGGGAAAAAUGGUCCACUGUAGAGCAUGGACGCUGCCUCAAAACUGUUGUAUAUGGAUACUCGUCGACUCAUGGCAAGCCUCGAGGCAAACGAGGAGAGCUGACCCACAGAGAUCUGUUUCUGCUGAAUGGUGCGGAGGAGUGCUGCCCAUAUUCGAUCAUUGAUCGUUGCUUGAAUGGCAUGAGUUUAAUUCCGUUGUGACCAGGUUGGAGAGAUUUGCGGUGCGCAUCCUUCGGACAAGUUCCGCUACGUCAGGUAUUUAUCUUCUCCCGAACGACACCGGAAAUGGCGAUGCUAGCGGUAGAGGAGAGAACUUAGCAUAUCUUCACUGCACUAGAAGCCAAAGGAAGGAUUCUGCUGUUUUGCUAGCUUGCUUGCUCAAAGUCCGUAUGUAAGAACGAAGAUGAAACUCCUCGCAGGUGUAGGUGGUGGUGGUUGGGUAAAUAUUCAUUCACUUUAGUUUCGGUGGGGUUCCAAUAUUACACGGUUGAACGGAUGGAUGAUGUUGUUGCUGAGCGGCGGAAUGAAAAUUUACAUCUAUCUGAGUUGCGGGGUAUAUUUGUGCAAGUUUGUGAUACAGAAUUAGAUAUAAGACGUGUACCGAGCGUGAGAUACGCAUAUUUUAAGGCAAAGGGGUGUAAAAUGGUUGGAGUCCCGCAGUUUUAUCAAUGAAUAUGUAACUUAAAUUAUUGAGUUGCGAAUGGUUAUUGAAAGAUUCAACCGAGACAAAUGUGUUCGAUAGAGGCCAAUUGGCAAUAGGAAUUAAAGGGCUUGGCCGGGUAAGAGAGUAAAAAGUGCCCCCAAAUCAAAUUACUAGCUGGCAAAUAUUGUAUAGAACAUUAAAUAAGAAAUUUUGGCAGUUUUUUUGAACCCCUAUGUGGAUUAGCAUAAGGUCUAUGGUAAAAAACGUUCGUUUAUUUCACGCCAUCCUCAAAAGCUUCGAGAUGAAAAUUUGAAAAAAAUACUGGAUGUGCAUCUUACUACGGUGUAUCAAGAAAAAUUAUCAAAAAAAAAAUUAAUCAAAAAUUAAAAUACUAUAAAAAAUUCAAAUUUAGAAUUUUUUUUUUGAUUUUCAGAUUUAGUACUUCUCUAAUUCAUAUUUAAAUGUGUUCCUACGGCUUUCCUAGAUAUGUGUGGUUUUUUCAGUUUUUUUCCAGUGUUGCGCGGUACAAAUAUUUUUUUUAUAUUUCCAAAGGGUCUGGCGGUUUUUGGGUAAGGGAGUAAAACGUGCCCCCAAACCGAAUCCCCAGCUGUAUGGAAGAUAUUGUAUAGGGUACAUAAUAAAACAUUUUGGCAGUAGUACCAUAUAUUCGAGUCCUUAUAUGGUACACCAUAGGAUCUAUAGUGAAAAAUGCACCUUUUCGUUUUUUUACGCCAUUUUCAAUAGCUUUGAGACAAAACAUAAGAAAAAAAAAUACUGAAAGUACAUCUUACAGACAGCGCUUGUCAAUGUCAUUUUGCUAUUGUGUAUUUAUAGGCGUUAUUUGUACUUAUUUAAAGUAAUAAGAGUUAAAAUUAAAAAAAAACUCCAGAAACACUUUUUAUUCAACUUCAUUCAAUUUCAAUAGUCUAUUAAUUCAGUACCCUCAAAACAAAAUUUGGUCUGCCUGUGAGACCGUAUCCUCGAGUAUGGUAGGGUUAACACGUAGAACCCCGAUUUUUUUGCUGUGCUUUCCAUUCAACCCGCAUUGAGAGCGUUUGCAUGAUAUCAGCGUCGGUCCCAGCUUCCAAAGAUACUUAUUGCAUGGAUAGAAAAUAGUCAGAAAUUCGACUUGUUAGUAGUCAGAUUUUGUAAAACAUCCGAAACAAACCGUAUGCAUUUUUAUUUUCUUAUUUUGUAACUGUCAGUCCCAGUCAGUUAGAUUCGAUCCUUAUAAUCAUCACACCGAACUUCGUAUCGUAUUUUGUAAAUCGAUAGAAUCUUAUCGAAACGAGU